AACCUGCGGAAGGAUCAUUAUUGAAGUAAACUUGAUGAGUUGUUGCUGGUUCUCUAGGGAGCAAGUGCACACUCGUCAUUUUUAUAUCUCCACCUGUGCACAUUUUGUAGACCUUGGGUAUCUCUCUAAUUGCUUCUUUUUAGCAUUUAGGAUUAAGGAUUGACUUUGUCUCUUCUUACAUUUCCAGGUUUAUGUUUCUUUAAAUACCCUAAUGUAUGUUUAAAGAAUGUAUUUAAUAGGCCUUUGUGCCUAUAAGUCUUUACAACUUUCAGCAACGGAUCUCUUGGCUCUCGCAUCGAUGAAGAACGCAGCGAAAUGCGAUAAGUAAUGUGAAUUGCAGAAUUCAGUGAAUCAUCGAAUCUUUGAACGCACCUUGCGCUCCUUGGUAUUCCGAGGAGCAUGCCUGUUUGAGUGUCAUUAAUAUAUCAACCUCUUUGGUUGGAUGUGGGGUUUGCUGGGCUUUUGAGAUCAGCUUCUCUUAAAUGUAUUAGCGGACAAUUUUUUUGCCAAACGCUCAUUGGUGUGAUAAUUAUCUACACUAUUGACGUGAAGCAAGUUCUGCUUAUAACUGUCUAUUGACUUGGACAAAUUUAUUAAUGUGACCUCAAAUCAGGUAGGACUACCCGCUGAACUUAA
This 636-nucleotide ribosomal RNA is filed under the name Calonarius arcuatorum. RNAcentral's name for it is "eukaryotic LSU rRNA". The stretch from base 264 to 417 matches the Rfam family "5.8S ribosomal RNA". Lineage: Eukaryota; Fungi; Basidiomycota; Agaricomycetes; Agaricales; Cortinariaceae. The record is from RNAcentral.